UUUUAUGGAGAGUUUGAUCCUGGCUCAGGAUGAACGCUGGCGGCGUGCCUAAUACAUGCAAGUCGAGCGAACAGACGAGGAGCUUGCUCCUCUGACGUUAGCGGCGGACGGGUGAGUAACACGU
RNAcentral lists this ribosomal RNA (124 nucleotides) under Staphylococcus epidermidis. RNAcentral describes it as "partial 16S ribosomal RNA". It matches the Rfam family "Bacterial small subunit ribosomal RNA", at positions 1 to 118 of the family's 1533-position model. Lineage: Bacteria; Bacillati; Bacillota; Bacilli; Caryophanales; Staphylococcaceae. The record is from RNAcentral.